UACGUAGGUGGCAAGCGUUGUCCGGAUUUAUUGGGUUUAAAGGGUGCGUAGGCGGCUUUUUAAGUCAGUGGUGAAAGCCGGUCGCUUAACGAUCGAACUGCCAUUGAUACUGAGAGGCUUGAGUAUAGUUGAGGUAGGCGGAAUUGACAGUGUAGCGGUGAAAUGCGUAGAUAUUGUCAAGAACACCGAUUGCGAAGGCAGCUUACUAGAGUAUAACUGACGCUGAGGCACGAGAGUGCGGGGAGCAAACAGG
This 253-nucleotide ribosomal RNA is filed under the name uncultured bacterium. RNAcentral describes it as "partial 16S ribosomal RNA". It matches the Rfam family "Bacterial small subunit ribosomal RNA", at positions 524 to 776 of the family's 1533-position model. The record is from RNAcentral.